CCCACCUCCAAAAAAAAAAAAAAAGAUACUGUUCUCAAAUAUAUCCAAUCUAUAAUUACCGUUAACUACGAUAUGAAUGAAAUUAUGACAAGGCCCACUUGGUAAAAUCAAAACCCAGAAAGACAAAUCAAAUAAAGAUGACAAAUUUCACAGACAAAAAUUUCCUUUAAAAGCCUUCCCAAUUGAAUCAAAGAGAUUCUUAAGAAACAAGUACCAGAAAAUUACUUAAAAGGAAAUAAUACAUUGGUAGGUUAGAAUGAAAGUGUAAAAGCAAAACGAACGUUCUUGACUGAAAACCAGUAGUAAAGAUAGCAUUUUGAAUGGACAAAAAUGCAAAAGAAAGCAAAGGGAAGGAGGAGGCAAGACUGUGGAAGCAGGAGAAGAAGUGAAUAUUAAAAGAGCAAGUUGCAGAGAUCUAGGACGUGGAUAUACAAGAGGUACACGUACUCUGUACAAAGGGUCAAAAAUUUAAAACUGGAAUUUUGAGAUUAAGACAAUUCAUUAAAUUCUUUUAAAUGUUUGGAUGAAAGAUAGAGAGAGAGAGUGGGAUUAU
This 553-nucleotide unclassified non-coding RNA is filed under the name Hevea brasiliensis (rubber tree). The record is from RNAcentral. Lineage: Eukaryota; Viridiplantae; Streptophyta; Magnoliopsida; Malpighiales; Euphorbiaceae.